RNAcentral lists this ribosomal RNA (274 nucleotides) under uncultured bacterium. Its description in RNAcentral is "partial 16S ribosomal RNA". It matches the Rfam family "Bacterial small subunit ribosomal RNA", at positions 523 to 796 of the family's 1533-position model. The record is from RNAcentral.
AUACGAAGGGGGCUAGCGUUGUUCGGAUUUACUGGGCGUAAAGCGCACGUAGGCGGAUUGACAAGUUAGGGGUGAAAUCCCGAGGCUCAACCUCGGAACUGCCUCUAAAACUGUCAAUCUAGAGACCGGAAGAGGUGAGUGGAACUCCUAGUGUAGAGGUGGAAUUCGUAGAUAUUAGGAAGAACACCAGUGGCGAAGGCGGCUCACUGGUCCGGUACUGACGCUGAGGUGCGAAAGCGUGGGGAGCGAACAGGAUUAGAAACCCCAGUAGUCC